AACGAACGCUGGCGGCAUGCCUAACACAUGCAAGUCGAACGAGACCUUCGGGUCUAGUGGCGCACGGGUGCGUAACGCGUGGGAACCUGCCCUUAGGUUCGGAAUAACUCCCCGAAAGGGGUGCUAAUACCGGAUAAUGUCUUCGGACCAAAGAUUUAUCGCCUUUGGAUGGGCCCGCGUUGGAUUAGCUAGUUGGUAGGGUAAAAGCCUACCAAGGCGACGAUCCAUAGCUGGUCUGAGAGGAUGAUCAGCCACACUGGGACUGAGACACGGCCCAGACUCCUACGGGAGGCAGCAGUGGGGAAUAUUGGACAAUGGGCGAAAGCCUGAUCCAGCAAUGCCGCGUGAGUGAUGAAGCCUUAGGGUUGUAAAGCUCUUUUACCCGGGAUGAUAAUGACAGUACCGGGAGAAUAAGCUCCGGCUAACUCCGUG
RNAcentral lists this ribosomal RNA (432 nucleotides) under uncultured bacterium. RNAcentral's name for it is "partial 16S ribosomal RNA". It matches the Rfam family "Bacterial small subunit ribosomal RNA", at positions 29 to 507 of the family's 1533-position model. The record is from RNAcentral.